UUCCACCGUAUUAAUCCCCCGUGCUCCUCGUCUCGUGGAAGCGAGUGGACGGAGCGGAGCGAUAACCUGACGGGGCGCGGGCUGCACGCCGCGCGCAGACACGUCCUGUUUAUGAAAAUACAGCCGAGCGUAAGCGUCGAGAACUUGUUGCACAAAGAACGAGCGUUGAUCCGCGUCGCUGCGUUCGUUUCGGCGGAGUCCGGACCGCUUCCGAGAUUAUUUCACCAUCGAAUUAGAAGAGGGGGUGUGGAUUCCACGCGGCGCCCGCUUGUGUCAGGCUACUGUGAACUCUGACCCCGAUCUCCACGCAGACAAAUUCGCAGGCCGAGCUCUCAGCGAGUCUCUGAGGAGAGUUGAGCAACAUACUGUACAAUCCACACUGAGGCCCCCGGAGACCGACGUGUCAAUCUCUUGAUGAAUUAUUGAAGACGCACCGCCCCCACUAUAUUUCUUAUAUAGGCAGCAGUCGUGACCUCUAUGAGGUUAGCGAGCGCAGCACGGCCAUCACGUGAAGGCAGCACACAUGCUCUGUUUUUCUAUUGAAGAGGCAGGACCUCAUUGUGCAGGGAUGAAGAAGGGGGGGGGGUGCAGCUCACGCCCCCAACGCGUCUGCUUGAACUUGUGAAACAGCGCUCACAACGGGCUCCUGGCGCGCUGGAGCAGCCGGCUGAAGCCCCCCAGGAGGCUAAGUUGAAUCAAUUCUGCUAAUGAUGUUUGUAAUUUAGGAGGCUAAUGACAUGCACUAUGAACUGGAAGAUUACGUCUAGGAGACACCUCUUAGAGUCAAGUGCUCCAAUGAUUGCCUUGGAGGAUCACAAACACGCACAGAAAUGAGGAGAUGGUGAAAAUGUAGUGCAGGUUAAAAAUAAUCAAAACUGAAAACACAGGCACUGAGUCAUUAUAAGACAUAAGCAGGCUUCCUAAGAUUAUAAUAAUGUACAUGCAACUUAAACUGGAAUCAACCCAGAAGUUGACCUUUGACCCUAUUUGUGAAAUAUUUCAAAAUCUUGCUUCUUGCUCAUCUCGUCUCUCAGACUCAGGCCUGAGUGCUCUUGAGCUCCUCGGGGUGGACUGAAGCCUGCUUCCUGUGGGAUGAGGAUGCCUCUCGGCGUGCGGGAUGUGGAGUGUGGCUUUUGCGGAUGAGCGGCCGUACAUGUGGGCGCACGUGCCGCCGCAUAUACGUCCCGGCGGCGGCGGCGAGGAGUGGGAAGCUGCGCGGCGUGAUAUGCAUGCGCCGCCACGCUGAUAUGAUUACUCCACAGGCUGCUCCCUGUGUUUUAGGCCGGUCAUUAACAACCCAUUUGAAGACUUUGUCAAUAGGUGCCAAGACAACAAGAAGCAACAUCGCCCCCCCUGUGCUCCACACCCCUCCUCCCACCCACUUGCCUUUCUCCUCUCUCAUUAAUAUGGAAAUGAGUCACUCAUUGUUGUUAAAAGAAGAGAAAGCUGUCAUGUCUUUGGUGACAGGCUCAAUGGAUGUGUUUGGAUUGCAGCGACUUGCUGUUUUUCCGAGAGCACGUCUUAUCUUUGUUUAGGCAGCGAAUCAAAAAUGUAAACAUCACUUCAUUAGCAUCUGUCAGGAAGCUUAACGCUAUGAUUUUUAAUACAUGGCUAAACCCUCUGAAUAGGCAAACAGGCCUUGUUAUUCUGUCUCGUCUUUUAUCUCCACUUUGUGUAGUAGUUAAUUUCUCAAAGGGAAACUUACUUAAUCCUCUGCAUUUGCUGCCUUCUAGCUCCGCUGGAACGUUACUUGCUUUACUUUACUUUUCUUGCUGGUCAGUGUUUUACUCCUUUUGAUGCUUUCUUUUUUGCAUCAAGGACAUCUGCACAGUGUGGACCGAUAUUAUCUUUACUGGGACAUUGGGUACAUGCAGCUCCUUGCUGUUGUAGGGAAUCAUACAUGCCGGAGUUCAUCACUGAAGUUAAAGCACCUCUCAGAUACAGGAGAGGCAGAAUCUGCCCCCAAAAUAGAGAGACAUAAAGACGAGUACCAGGAGGAUGUGAUAAGAUUAAGGUGUGCAAAUGUCAGCUCCUCCUCCGGGAGGAGCAACAGGCCGUGAUCUGAGCUGCACACGCUUGUGUCAAAGCAUCGUGUCAAUUUGUGCGUUUUUGUGGAGCAAGAGGGACAAAGAUCUACGACACGGCAGUGGGUAAGUGAGAUUAUUCCCACUGCUGCUGCUGCAGGUACAGUUUAGCAUCUCUCUGUAAUACGUGCAGACGUGCAGCAGUUUCUAUUAACGUAAUGAAGACACAGAGGAAUGCGUCGCUUGCUGCAUCUACCAAGCCGUUAUUUGACGUCUAAUUCCUCUAAGCAGCGGUCAGCAGCAGCGGUGGGGCUGGAAUCAACAGGACUUAUUGCAGUGACUCCCUCCGAUGUUCCCUGGGUUUAAAAUUCAUUCGCACGCUUCCCUAGCGGAGACGCACAGAGUUCAUGCUAAUGAUCUGGCUUUAUUAAAACUAGACAAUACCUUUGGCAGCUUGAAAAGCACAACUAAACAAUCCUAAUUUGCUACAGCUCCCAUUUACACCUCCGUCAGGCGACUUCUCCAUAGCAACACGGGCUGAGGUUCUGGUUAUCGGAGUAUUUGGGCCCAUUAGAUGUACAAAGUGGAUUUCAAGCUGAUGCAUGUUGGAGAGAACGAUCCAUGGCCUAAGUAAAACAAAUUAUAAUGGGAGAAUAGGAAGAGAUUUCACAAUUCUUGCACAACCGGAGGACAAACCUUUAUCGCAAUAAUCAGAAAUCCAUGGAUUUGUGGCACUUUAACAAAGAAUCUGCAACUUGGUCCACGUUGAUUAGACAAAGCUUCCAUCUCGUGAAAAGAACACAGCUCAGAUGUAAUUAUGUACAGGAGUCGUCUCAGAAUGCUUCCCUUUUAAAUCACAUUCCUAAUUGUCUAUUCAGAAGUUGUUCCAGUUGCUCAAGUGCCUUUAUGUGAAACAGGGGAGGGGAUGAAUAUGUGUGUAAUGCCUUUGCAUUUGUAUUCCUCUAUCCAUCUCCCUUUUUGUCAGAACAGUUUCAUUUCCAUGUCAGUGAUUUAUGUAGGGAGAUAGCAGAGAGUCUGUUAAUGGGAUAUUUCUUUUGCUCUCCUCAGGAACAACAUGUCAAAACAGAGACGGGGAAAACAAACCCAAAUGCUUGCAGGGGAACAAAUUAGGUCUUGUGACAAUAUUGGGAAAGAAAAAAAACAUUUUCAAGUCGUAAACAUGGAGGCGUCUUGGAUUUGAUGUGCGUCUCCUCGUUUAAAAAACACUGGGCUGUAAUUGAAACGGAGGCCUUUGCAAGCUGGAAGACGCACGUUGAACCGUCCCUGCUGAAGAUGACACAGGAAGUCAUGAGAGGAAACAGCCAAUAAUCGUAGCGAUGCGAUGUAGCUUACACGCGGCUUGUGAUAGUUUCCAUCUUCCCUCACCUUCAAUUAUCUUUAGAGAAUAUGGAGCUUAUAUUAGUAUGUAUGUUUUAUUUACUGCAGACGAGUGAAAUUCAAACAUUUGACAUUUUAAACCAAUUAUUUUUACUACAGGCAAUGAUAUUUUUGUGCUGUGAGUUUAUUUUGGACGGAGAGUGCCUGUUUUUUCCUGCAGCCUGCUUUCAGAUGCUGAGAGGAGGAGGUGGUGCUCACAGUCUGAAGUGGGUCUUCCACUAAGCACUAACCUCGGCCCCCCUGGCGGACGCUGGGCUCGGGCCAAGGCGGGAGAGGAGAGGAGCGGCGUCCUGCUGAGGCGCCGGGUCUGGUCUGGAGGUAAUGGGCAGAAGGGAAAAGGAGCGUUGCCUGUGGCGUGGCCCAAAAUGAAUUACUGCCAUCUUUCUGCUCCUCCGCCUCUCAGUGAGAGCGGAGUCUGGAGGGCCUGAUAACAAGGGCACAGAACCACCAACCAAAGCAGAACGGGGGACGCGCCAGCGAAAAAAUAAUAAAGCUGUCUGGCAGAGUUAAUAUCAUGUCAUUUAUGAUGAUUUGGCUGGAUGUGUGAUGAGGUCAUUCUCAUUGUGGUGUUAAUGUCAGGCCAGACAGUAAACGCGGCCGGUGGCGAAGACCGGAGCAGAGCGGAACAGGACACAAAACAAAAUCUAUGGGUUUAACAGGUGAUUUGCAUCUACGGCUAAUUUCUGGUGGCCUUCUGGGAACGAAAACAAACCCACAGCUGGAAAACAACACGCGUCACGUCACCUCUGGUGAAGAUUUGAUCCUCGUAAUCACAUGUUUUUACGGUGUUUAUCCAGGCGGCUGCGAGUCUUGGGGGCGAUCUGAGUAAUUUCCAGUAAACAUGAUUUGAAUUUCCUCAGGGAUCAAUACUCCGCUAUCAUGAAUGUUGUGCUGGUUGGUGCUUGUCUGUCGCAGCCUGGGAUCGUAUGUGGUGGUUCCUGUGGUCAGUAAGAUGAUAUGUGCAACCGUCUCCAGGAGGGGAGGAAGCCACUGAUGCUGUUGAUCAGCAUCGUCUGGUCUCUGAUCAACAUGAGGUGAAUCAUAUUCACUUAAACAUUUUUAAUAUACAGCAAAUUCAAUUUAAGUCAGCCGAACUACAGUGAAUCACUGUAUCGGUGGGAACUUUUCCAUUAAAAGCCAUCCUGAGUUUGUCUGAAUGGGAUCUGACUAGCUGAUGUGGAAAAAGGGACGGCAGAAAAAUGGAUGCAUAAUUAGGUCAAAGCAAUAGAAACUGUUGAGUUGCAUUUUGAUUCAUUCCGCUUUGCCCCGUUUGAACGUGUCACCUGCAUGCAAAUGAUUCUCUUUCUU
Betta splendens (Siamese fighting fish) is the source of this 4730-nucleotide long non-coding RNA. RefSeq lists it as uncharacterized. The transcript has 3 exons. The record is from RefSeq and is a predicted model, not a curated record. Lineage: Eukaryota; Metazoa; Chordata; Actinopteri; Anabantiformes; Osphronemidae.